This 256-nucleotide ribosomal RNA is filed under the name uncultured bacterium. Its description in RNAcentral is "partial small subunit ribosomal RNA". It matches the Rfam family "Bacterial small subunit ribosomal RNA", at positions 26 to 285 of the family's 1533-position model. The record is from RNAcentral.
AGGACGAACGCUGGCGGCGUGCUUAACACAUGCAAGUCGAACGGAAAGGCCCUUUCGGGGGUACACGAGCGGCGAACGGGUGAGUAACACGUGGGUAACCUGCCCUGUACUGUGGGAUAAGCCUGGGAAACUGGGUCUAAUACCGCAUAUGACUGCAUCCUGCAUGGGGUGUGGUGGAAAGUUCUGGCGGUACAGGAUGGGCCCGCGGCCUAUCAGCUUGUUGGUGGGUGAUGGCCUACCAAGGCGACGACGGGUA